UGGGGAAUAUUGGACAAUGGGCGAAAGCCUGAUCCAGCCAUGCCGCGUGUGUGAAGAAGGCCCUUGGGUUGUAAAGCACUUUCAGUGGGGAGAAAGGUCUGUCACCUAAUACGUGAUGGAAUUGAUGUUACCCACAGAAGAAGCACCGGCUAACUCCGUGCCAGCAGCCGCGGUAAUACGGAGGGUGCAAGCGUUAAUCGGAAUUACUGGGCGUAAAGCGCACGUAGGUGGUUUACUAAGCCAGCUGUGAAAUCCCCGGGCUCAACCUGGGCACUGCAGUUGGAACUGGUAAGCUAGAGUAGGGUAGAGGGGUGUGGAAUUCCAGGUGUAGCGGUGAAAUGCGUAGAUAUCUGGAGGAACAUCAGUGGCGAAGGCGACACCCUGGACUCAUACUGACACUGAGGUGCGAAAGCGUGGGGAGCAAACAGG
RNAcentral lists this ribosomal RNA (429 nucleotides) under uncultured bacterium. RNAcentral's name for it is "bacterial SSU rRNA". It matches the Rfam family "Bacterial small subunit ribosomal RNA", at positions 355 to 776 of the family's 1533-position model. The record is from RNAcentral.